This is a long non-coding RNA of Salvia miltiorrhiza (redroot sage), 1098 nucleotides long. RefSeq lists it as uncharacterized. The record is from RefSeq and is a predicted model, not a curated record. The transcript is spliced from 2 exons. NCBI's taxonomy places the organism in Eukaryota, Viridiplantae, Streptophyta, Magnoliopsida, Lamiales, Lamiaceae.
UCUUUCUGGUUCACUUCUAUCUAGAAUUCUCACUCAAUAUCAUCUCUCACUCAAACCCUACUUUCUAGAUUUCUCUAAAGGUGCGCCGCCUCUCUCCUUCUUCAUUGUUCAUCCGUAUGAAACCCUAAAUUGAUGGUAGAAAAUCGUCUCUUUCCUUCCUUCUUCAUCCAUCUAAAACCCUAAAUUGAGGAUAGAAAAUCGCCUAUCUCCUUCGUGUUUCUAGUCCACAUUGCCUCCCUCAAACUCGGUGCCUCGCUCCUUUGUUCUUCACCUUAAGGCUCUGCCUCCCUCUUCGAUGAAUCUCACCCUCUCUCCUACUUCUCUCUCUGAAAUCAGUGAUUCUCUUAUCAAAUCACCAUUUUUGCCACCGUUAACGAUGAUCCCCACGGAGUCGGACACUGUGGUGUCAUAAACGCCUUUGGUGGAAUCUUUUCUUGACUCCCCGAUUUCUCAUUGGAUGCUCGGUCAGCCUUUCGGUGACACGAUGCCUCUGACUGAAUCAUCUCCAAUGUUCUGCUAUCGUUGACGGCGACCCACACAGAGUCCCUUUCAAUGUGGUCGUGGGCUUUCGAGCCGGAUACGGUGGUACCUGAAGCACCUAUAGAUCUGGUCGUGGAUGGCUUCAUCGAAGAUUAAGAAGGUCGAUCGGACAAUUGGAAUGUCUGGAGUGACGAGAUGAGGAUUCAGUACCUGCAAUUACUUGGCAUUUGGUGCCCGGGUGCCUUGGCCCUAAUUUAAUCAGGGCUGCCCCAUGGAUUUUUGUGCACGUGUUGCUGUCCAAAUACGCCAAACAGUCCUCACGUCAAUGUUGUUCCUUCUUCUUCGCACCGUACCGAAGCUUGCUUUCCUUACUGUUUUGAAGCAGCCACUGUGCUAUGUUGUUCCUCUGAAUUUCAUACAUGUUUGCUUUUUUUUUUUCCUCUGCCAUUUUGCUCUCUUUAUUUGUGUAGUGGUACUUUUGAUGUACAUGCAAAUUUGAGCCUUAAAUGAUGCUCUAUUUAUUGAUGUAUUUGGAGCAAAAAGAAGUUUGAAUUUGCCUCCAUUUUUUUGGAAUGAAAUCUGAAAAUUUGAGAGGGAAAUGAAAAUCUAAAUUUUUCA